GAGCCUGCAGAGUUUGUUUGUCACGGAGCUAG
RNAcentral lists this non-coding RNA (32 nucleotides) under Syntrophotalea carbinolica DSM 2380. The record is from RNAcentral. Lineage: Bacteria; Pseudomonadati; Thermodesulfobacteriota; Desulfuromonadia; Desulfuromonadales; Syntrophotaleaceae.